Non-coding RNA from Notechis scutatus (mainland tiger snake), 613 nucleotides. The record is from RefSeq and is a predicted model, not a curated record. NCBI's taxonomy places the organism in Eukaryota, Metazoa, Chordata, Lepidosauria, Squamata, Elapidae.
CUCUUGCUAUUGAUAAAUAGAAAUGAUUUGAGAUGCAUUCUCAUAGGAACCGUACAGUAAUUUGUAGACAUGAAAAGGGGUCCUAACUAGAACAUUCCUAAAAAUCUCUAGGCACUCAUUUGUUUAUAUUAAAUCGAUCACCUUAUAAUAAUCACACAUGCAGCAGAGUUUUCUGAAAAAAAGAAAACAUGUAGCCAUCUUGACACCUGUUAAAACGAAUUUUCUAUUGUUUAUAUAGGCUUCCUUUCUGCAGACAAUUAUGCUGUAUAUCACCAUAACAAGAGACAAACCAAGAGCUCCACCAAUUUCAGAACACAUAGCCACUGUUCCAGUCGAAAUACCAGAUGCAGAAUGUGACCACUGCCCCAUAUCAGGCUUAGGAUAUAUAGACCUGAUAUAGGCCCAUGGCUGUCAUGAUGACCACGAACUCAAGCCACUCCAACUCAUAAGAAAGGGUGGUUGAAGAACCAUAAAUCUGGGGAACUCCACUGACAGCCCAGAAAUGGAGUCAGGGAGGUUACUGUGCAGCUGGAAUGUUGGUACUACAGCAACAACCUCAACUAAUUCCUAUUCAUAACAAUCCUAAUGAUCCCAACAAAAACAACUGGGACUG